UACAGAGGGUGCAAGCGUUAAUCGGAAUUACUGGGCGUAAAGCGUGCGUAGACGGUAGCGUAAGUCAGAUGUGAAAGCCCCGGGCUCAACCUGGGAACUGCAUUUGAGACUGCUCUGCUCGGGUGCGGAAGAGGGAAGCGGAGUUUCCGGUGUAGCGGUGAAAUGCGUAGAUAUCGGAAGGAACACCUGUGGCGAAAGCGGCUCACUGGACCACAACUGACGCUGAGGCGCGAAAGCUAGGGGAGCAAACAGG
Molecule: ribosomal RNA, 253 nt
Filed under: uncultured bacterium
Lineage: Bacteria
Description: partial 16S ribosomal RNA
Rfam family: Bacterial small subunit ribosomal RNA
Source: RNAcentral